Molecule: ribosomal RNA, 253 nt
Filed under: uncultured bacterium
Lineage: Bacteria
Description: partial 16S ribosomal RNA
Rfam family: Bacterial small subunit ribosomal RNA
Source: RNAcentral
UACGGAGGGUCCGAGCGUUAUCCGGAAUUAUUGGGUUUAAAGGGUCCGUAGGCUGGCUAUUAAGUCAGAGGUGAAAGUUUGCAGCUCAACUGUAAAAUUGCCUUUGAUACUGGUAGUCUUGAGUUAUAGUGAAGUAGCUGGAAUAUGUAGUGUAGCGGUGAAAUGCAUAGAUAUUACAUAGAACACCUAUUGCGAAGGCAGGUUACUAACUAUUAACUGACGCUGAUGGACGAAAGCGUGGGUAGCGAACAGG